This 450-nucleotide ribosomal RNA is filed under the name uncultured bacterium. RNAcentral describes it as "partial 16S ribosomal RNA". It matches the Rfam family "Bacterial small subunit ribosomal RNA", at positions 354 to 796 of the family's 1533-position model. The record is from RNAcentral.
GUGGGGAAUUUUGGACAAUGGGCGCAAGCCUGAUCCAGCAAUGCCGCGUGCAGGAAGAAGGCCUUCGGGUUGUAAACUGCUUUUGUACGGAACGAAACGGUCCUGGCUAAUACCCGGGGCUAAUGACGGUACCGUAAGAAUAAGCACCGGCUAACUACGUGCCAGCAGCCGCGGUAAUACGUAGGGUGCGAGCGUUAAUCGGAAUUACUGGGCGUAAAGCGUGCGCAGGCGGUGCUGUAAGACAGGCGUGAAAUCCCCGGGCUCAACCUGGGAAUUGCGCUUGUGACUGCAGUGCUGGAGUGCGGCAGAGGGGGAUGGAAUUCCGCGUGUAGCAGUGAAAUGCGUAGAUAUGCGGAGGAACACCGAUGGCGAAGGCAAUCCCCUGGGCCUGCACUGACGCUCAUGCACGAAAGCGUGGGGAGCAAACAGGAUUAGAAACCCUUGUAGUCC